Molecule: long non-coding RNA, 5111 nt
Filed under: Arabidopsis lyrata
Lineage: Eukaryota; Viridiplantae; Streptophyta; Magnoliopsida; Brassicales; Brassicaceae
Description: long non-coding RNA (ALYR_LNC002442)
Source: RNAcentral
CAGCCUUUAACAUCAAAAAAGAGAGUUUCAAAUCAAAUUUUGAACUGUUUAAAAUAGAUAAACAAAACAAAAAAGUUCACUCAGAUUGAUUUUAAUUGAAUGGAUCUCUCGAUCUUAAAAUUGAUUUACACUCUUAACCUUUUUUCGUUUUGGUAUAAUGUAAAAACUUAUAUAAGAGAUUUUUUACAAAAACAGAAAUUAAACAAAGAAAAACAUAAAAAUAAAAAUUAUGUAGUAAACAAUAGUACUACAGGAGAGGCCACAAAAGAAGAAAUUAACAAAAGGAGCUGGAACGUUCUGAGUUCUGACAGAAAAAGCCACGAGAAAACCGUCGAUGUUGCCACGAGUGAACCGCGAUUCGAACCCAGCCUUUAACAUAUAAUUAGGAUCGAGUUAGAGAAGGUUAAAGAUGACAAAAAGAGAGUUUGAAAUCAAUUUUUGGACUGAUUAAAAUAGAUAAACAUAAAAAUAAAACAAAGAAAAACAUAAAACUAAAAACUGCAGAAACAACAGUACUGCAGAAGGCCACAAAAGAUGAAAUUAACGACAGGAGCUAGCAUGUUCUGACGAAAGAAGACACGAGAAAACCGUCGAUGUUGCCACAAGUGAACUGCGACCUGAACCUACCUUUUAACAUAUCAUUAGCAUCGAGUUAGAGAAGGUAAAAGAUGACAAAAAGAGAGUUCGAAAUCAAUUUUUGGACUGUUAAAAUAGAUAAACGAAACAAAAAAUUUCACCCAAACUGACAUUAAUUGAAUGGAUCUUUCGAUCUUAAACUUGAAUUACACUCUUAAAUAUUUUGUUUUGGUAAAAUGUAAAAAUUUAUACUAGAUUUCAUAUUUUUUACAAAAAUGGAAAUAAAACAAAGAGAAAAAUAAAACUAAAAACUAUGCAGCAAACAACAGUACUGUAGAAGGCCACAAAAGAUAAAAUUAACGAAAGGAGCUCGAAAUUCCUGAUGGAAGAAGACACGAGAAAACCGUCGACGUUGCCACGAGUGAACUGCGAUCAGAACCCAGCCCUUAACAUAUCAUUAAGAUCGAGUUAGAGAAGGUGAAAGAUGACAAAAAGAGAGUUUGAAAUCAUUUUUUGGAAUGUUUAAAAUAGAUAAACAAAACAAAAAAAGUUCAACUAAACUGAUAUUAAUUGAAUGGAUCUCUCGAUCUUAAAAUUGAAUUACACUCUUCACUUUUUUUUUGUUUUGGUAAAACAUAAAGAAUUUAUACUAGAUUUUAGAUUUUUUACAGACACAAAAGUAAACGAAGAGAAACAUAAAACUAAAAAAAACUAGGCAGCAAACAACAGUACUCGAGAAGACCACAAAAGAUAAAAUUAACCAAAGGAGCUAGAACGUUCUGAGGGAAGAUGACACGAGAAAAUCGUCGAUGUUGCCACGAGUAAACUGCUAUCCUAUCGUAGCCUUUAACAUAUCAUUAGGAUUGAGUUACAGAAGGUAAAAGAUGACAAAAAAGAGUUUGAAAUCAAUGUUUGGACUGUUUAAAAAUCGAUAAACAAAAAAUAAAAGUUCACCCAAACUGAAAUUAAUUGAAUUGAUUUCUCGAUCUUAAAAUUGAAUUACACUCUUAACUUUUUUGUUUUGGUAAAAUAUAAAAAUUUAUACUAGAUUUAAGAUUUUAUACAAAAAACGGAAAUAAAAUAAAGAGAAACACAAAAGCAAAACCAUGCAGCAAACAAUAGUACUGUAGAAGGCCGUAAAGGAUGAAAUUAACGAAAUGAGCUAGAAAGCUCUGACGGAAGAAAACACUAGAAAACCGUUGAUGUUGCCACGAGUUAACCGCGAUCCGAACUUACCCUUUCAAAUAUCAUUAGAAUCGAGUUAGAGAAGGUAAAAGAUGACAAAAAGAGAGUUUGAAAUCAAUUAUUGGACUGUUUAAAUAGAGAAACAAAAUAAAACAUUUCACCCAAACUAAUAUUAAUUGAAUGAGUCUCUCGAUCUUAAAAUUGAAUUACACUGUUAACUUUUUUUUGUUUUGGUAAAAUGUAAAAAUUUAUAAUAGAUUUUUGACUUUUUACAAACGCGGAACUAAAAAAGAGAAACAUAAAUCUAAAAACUAUGCAGCCCUGCAAAAGGCCACAAAAUAUGAAAUGAACGAAAAUAGCUAGAACGUUAUGACAGAAGAAGAGAAGCAAAAACCGUUGAUGUUUUCACGAGUGAACCGCGAUCCGAAGUUAGCCUUUAAAAUAUCAUUAAGAUCGAGUUAGAGAAGGUAAUAGAUGACAAAAAGAGAGUUUGAAAUCUUUUAUUGGACUGUUUAAAAUAAAGAAACAGAGCAAAACAUUUCACGAAACUGAUAUUACCUGAAUGAAUAUCUCGAUCUUAAAAUUGAAUUACAAUCUUAACUUUUUUUUAUUUUGGUAAAAUGUAGAAAAAUUAUAUCAUAGAUGUUUUACAAAACCGGAAAUAAAACAUACAAAAACAUUAUAAAAAAAAACCAGGAAGCAAACAACAGUACUGCAAAAGGCCAGAAAAGAUAAAAUUAACGAAAAUUGCUCGAAAUUCCUGAUGGAAGAUGACACGAGAAAACCUUUGAUGUUGCCACGAGUGAACCGCGAUCAUAACCCAACCCUUAACAUAUCAUUAAGAUCGAGCUAGAGAAGAUAAAAGAUGACAAAAAAAAAAAGAGUUUGAAAUCAAUUUUUGGAAUGUUUAAAAUAGAUAAACAAAACAAAAAAAGUUCAGCUAAACUGAUAUUAAUCGAAUGGAUCUCUCGAUCUUAAAAUUGAAUUACACUCUUAACUUUUUUUUUGUUUUUGGUAAAAUAUAAAAAUUUAUACAAGAUUUUUGAUUUUUUACAAACACGAAAACAAAACGAAGAGAAAUAUAAAACUAAAAAAAAACUAAGCAGCAAAAACCAAUAUUCGAGAAGACCAUGAAAGAUAAAAUUAACCAAAGGAGCAAGAACGUUCUGGCGGAAGAAGACACGAGAAAACCGUCGAUGUUGCCACGAGUAAAUUGCUAUCCUAUCGUAGCUUUUAACAUAUCAUUAGGAUUGAGUUAGAGAAGGUAAAAGAUGACAAAAAGAGAGUUUGAAAUCAAUGUUUGGACUGUUUAAAAUCGAUAAACAAAAAAGAAAAGUUCACCCAAACUAACAUUAAUUGAAUUGAUCUCUCGAUCUUAAAAUUGAAUAACACUUUUAACUUUUUUGUUUUGGUAAAAUAUAAAUAUUUAUACUAGAUUUAAUAUUUUAUACAAAAACAGAAAUAAAAUAAAGAGAAACAUAAAACGAAAACCUAUGCAGCAAACAACAGUACUGUAGAAGGCUGUAAAAGAUGAAAUUAACGAAAGGAGCUAGAAAGCUUUGCCGGAAGAAAACACUAGAAAACCGUUGAUGUUGCCACGAGUGAACCGCGAUCCGAACCUACCCUUUCAAAUAUCAUUAGGAUCCAGUUAGAGAAGGUAAAAGAUGACAAAAGAGAGUUUGAAAUCAAUUUUUGGACUGUUUAAAUAGAGAAACAAAAUAAAACAUUUCACCCAAACUGAUAUUAAUUGAAUGAAUCUCUCGAUCUUAAAAUUGAUUACACUGUUAACUUUUUUAUUGUUUUGGUAAAAUGUAAAAAUUUAUAAUCGAUUUUUGACUUUUUACAAACACGGAAAAAAAAAAGAGAAACAUAAAUCUAAAAACUAUGCAGCCGUGCAGAAGGCCACAAAAUAUGAAAUUAACGAAAAUAGCUAGAACGUUAUGACAAAAGAAGAGAAAAGAAAACCGUUGAUGUUUUCACGAGUGAACCGCGAUCCAAACCUAGCCUUUAAAAUAUCAUUAAGAUCGAGUUAGAGAAGGUAAACGAUGACAAAAAGAGAGUUUGAAAUCUUUUUUUCGACUGUUUAAAAUAGAGAAACAAAACAAAAUAUUUCACCCAAACUGAAAUUAAUUGAAUGGAUAUCUCGAUCUUAAAAUUGAAUUACAAUCAUAUUCUUUUUUUUUUGGUAAAAUAUAAAAAAAUAUAUGAUAGAUUUUUUACAAAAACGGAAAUAAAACAAAGAAAAACAUAAAACUAAAAAAAAACUAGGCAGCAAACAACAGUACUGCAGAAGGCCACAAAAGAUGAAAUUAACGAAAGGAGCUAGAACGUUCUUACGGAAGAAGACACGAGAAAACCGUCGAUGUUGCCACGAGUAAACUGCUAUCCUGUCGUAGCCUUUAACAUAUCAUUAGGGUUGAGUUAGAGAAGGUAACAGAUGACAAAAAUAAAGUUUGACAUCAAUGUUUGGACUGUUAAAAAUAGAUAAACAAAAAGAAAAGUUCACCCAAACUAACAUUAAUUGAAUGGAUCUCUCAAUCUUAAAAUUGAAUUACACUCUUAACUUUUUUGUUUUAGUAAAAUGUAAAAAUUUAUACUAGAUUUAUGAUUUUAUAAAAAAACGGAAAUAAAACAAAGAGAAACGUAAGACCAAAAACUAUGCAGCAAACAACAGUACUGUAGAAGGCCAUAAAAGAUGAAAUUAACGAAAGGAGCUAGAAAGCUUUGACAGAAGAAAACACGAGAAAACCGUUGAUGUUACCACGAGUGAACCGCGAUCUGAAUCUAACCUUUAAAAUAUCAUUAGGAACGAGUUAGAUAAAGUAAAAGAUGACAAGAAGAGAGUUUGAAAUCAAUUUUUGGACUGUUUAAAUAGAGAAACAAGAUAAAACAUUUCACCCAAACUGAUAUUAAUUGAAUGAAUCUCUCGAUCUUAUAAUUGAAUUACACUCUUAACUUUUUUUUGUUUUGGUAAAAUAUAAAAAUUUAUAAUAGAUUUUUGACUUUUUACAAACACGAAAAUAAAAAAUAGAAAGAUAAAUCUAAAAACUAUGCAGCACUGCAGAAGACCACAAAAUAUGAAAUUAACGAAAAUAGCUAGAACGUUAUGACAGAAGAAGAGAAGAGAAAACCGUUUAUGUUGCCACGAGUGAACCGCGAUCCGAACCUAGCCUUUAAAAUAUCAUUAAGAUCGAGUUAGAGAAGGUAAAAGAUGACAAAAACAGAGUUUGAAAUCUUUUUUUGGACUGUUUAAAAUAGAGAAACAAAACAAAACAUUUCACCCAAACUGAUAUUACUUGAAUGGAUAUCUCGAUCUUAAAAUUGAAUUACAAUCUUAACUUUUCUUUUAU